Long non-coding RNA from Centropristis striata (black sea bass), 728 nucleotides. RefSeq lists it as uncharacterized. The transcript is spliced from 2 exons. Lineage: Eukaryota; Metazoa; Chordata; Actinopteri; Perciformes; Serranidae. The record is from RefSeq and is a predicted model, not a curated record.
ACAGCAAAGUGGAGCCUGAGAACAGUCAUCGGAUCAGUCAGGACUCAACCAAGAGAAGCAUCGCUGUGGAUGAGAUCGCCUCAAUGGGAAAUGUCCGUCUCAGCAACAAAUCCAAAAUGACCAACAACUGAAAGGCUGGGAAAUACACAUACAAGUCAACAACAGAGAAAAAACAAUACACCCACUUGGCAAUUUUUCUCUCUCUCCAGGGAUGACUCUCAAAGUGAGUUUGUCUUAAUAUCUCGACUUGAGUUUCUCAAAUGUUUUAAAUAUAUGUUUUGUAUUGUUUGUUAUUCAGUGUAGAAUUUCCCACUCCAUUUUUCUAAAAUAAGGAAACAAGAUGAAUACAUGUUUGAUUUUAAGCCUGUGGAACUCCAGUCCAUGAGCUGAUGUGUAUUUUUCCUUUGAAAAAUGUAACUAACAAAUCUAACAAAUAUGUUUUUUUUAUUUGAGCUGUGAGAUACAAUUGCACUAUGUAUAAAUAACUACAAAUUUGUAUGAAGAGAUAUUUGUUAGUUGUUUUUCAAUCACUCAAUCUUAUUUUAUUUUCAAAACAAAAUACAUUUCAAAUAAGAAAUGAACAAUAACAGAAAUAUGGUCAGGAAUGUUGAAAUGCAACUUUGAAAAAACUUUUUUUCCUUGACAAUAAAUGCAGUUGUCAUCAAUGAUUUUGUGUCUGAUGAAAAGUUUGUCUAUCAAAACAAUAAAAAUUCCGUUAAUAAAUGACA